Molecule: long non-coding RNA, 383 nt
Organism: Manduca sexta (tobacco hornworm)
Lineage: Eukaryota; Metazoa; Arthropoda; Insecta; Lepidoptera; Sphingidae
Exons: 2
Source: RefSeq, a predicted model, not a curated record
AGACUGACAUUAUUAUUAUUGAAGAAAAAACUACUAUCGGAAUCGGCAAAGAGAAUUAUAAUAUAUAAAUCGGAAUCGGAACAAAAAGGGCUCCCGGGAGCACAUGUAUUAAGAAAAAGGAAAUUGGGCAAUCAAAACACCUCCACCAGUGCUUUUAGAUGAAGGUUUUUUUAAAUCACGUCCUCUCCUAUAAACUACGUAGCGGUCAUCAAAUAACUCCGAGUCGGCCACGUUGCUUUGAAGCCAUGUUUCAGUAAUGAAAACGACAUCAUAAUUGUGUACAGAUAUAUUUAGACAAAACUCAGUGGUUUUAGUGUUCAAACCUCUUGAAUUCUGAUAGUAGCAGUUUAGAGUCAUGAAUACAAUAAAUUAACUUUUGUGUA